Micropterus dolomieu (smallmouth bass) is the source of this 545-nucleotide long non-coding RNA. RefSeq lists it as uncharacterized. NCBI's taxonomy places the organism in Eukaryota, Metazoa, Chordata, Actinopteri, Centrarchiformes, Centrarchidae. The transcript is spliced from 3 exons. The record is from RefSeq and is a predicted model, not a curated record.
AUGCCACCCUCCACCCUAAAGCCUGAACCCUGCCAAGCUGUUCCAGGACUGUUCCAGGACUGUUCCAGGCUCCUGCAGAGCUGAAACUGAACCUCUGACCUGCAGAUCAGAGGUCAUCUUCAAAUAAUCAGGGGGCAGAAAAACACCGGAACUCUCUGCAGACCAGGAACCAGAAACCAGAAACAACCACACCCGGACUGCACACACUUCUAGGAUUCAGAGAAUCUGGUGACUCAUGGUCGUGUGUCCAUGUAUUCAUUGUCUGGAGCCCGCAGUUCCACAAAGGAGCAGACGGGAGUGUCCAUCUGCUGAUAAUCCCACAAUGCACUGCUCUGCAUCGUGUGUGAAAGAUGUCUUUGCACAGGGAGGCGGUCCUGGUGAUUCAGCAGGGUCACGAGAUUAAAGAGCACCAUGAGACGACGCAGCGGACCAGGUGUUCGUCCCAGAGGAGAGGACGGAGGGCCGGGACAGGAGCCGGCUUGGAUUUGGACUCCCGGCCCCCGGGCCGUGUUCUGAGCCGUCAGAGAGGAGGCGGUCUCUGUGUA